GACGAACGCUGGCGGCGCGCCUAAAACAUGCAAGUCGAACGAGGUCUUUUAGAGUGCUUGCACUCUGGCUGACCUAGUGGCGGACGGGUGAGUAACACGUGAGCAACCUGCCCUGGAGUGGGGGAUAACGUCUGGAAACGGACGCUAAUACCGCAUAACAUCCGAGAAUGGCAUCUUUUUCGGAUCAAAGGAGUAAUCCGCUUUGGGAUGGGCUCGCGCCCGAUUAGAUAGUUGGUGGGGUAAUGGCCUACCAAGUCUGCGAUCGGUAGCCGGACUGAGAGGUUGAUCGGCCACAUUGGGACUGAGACACGGCCCAGACUCCUACGGGAGGCAGCAGUUAGGGAUAUUGCACAAUGGGGGAAACCCUGAUGCAGCGACGCCGCGUGAGUGAUGACGGCCUUCGGGUUGUAAAGCUCUGUGAUGGGGGACGAAACAAAUGACGGUACCCCAUCAGAAAGCCACGGCUAACUACGUGCCAGCAGCCGCCGUAACAC
This 494-nucleotide ribosomal RNA is filed under the name uncultured bacterium. RNAcentral describes it as "bacterial SSU rRNA". It matches the Rfam family "Bacterial small subunit ribosomal RNA", at positions 28 to 526 of the family's 1533-position model. The record is from RNAcentral.